Molecule: long non-coding RNA, 1400 nt
Organism: Spinacia oleracea (spinach)
Lineage: Eukaryota; Viridiplantae; Streptophyta; Magnoliopsida; Caryophyllales; Amaranthaceae
Exons: 5
Source: RefSeq, a predicted model, not a curated record
UUAGCUCUCGUUCGUCGUUAAUUGUUAAAACAGCUAAUAAAGUCCCCCUCCCGUCAAAAAAAAAAAAAGAAAAAAGUCCCUCAAACUCUCCAAAACCCAAUUGAAAACUCUCCAUAGUUUUGCUUCUGCAGUUCUUUAUUCCUUAAAUUUCAUGGCGGCGAGGGUUCUCAUUGCCCUGAUUUCCACCUUUCUUUGGGGCUUGAGGAAUUGUCAACGGAAGAUAUCUAGGUGGCGGUGAGCGUUUUGGGUCAGGGUUGCACCGGAAAGGUGGUGGCGUCGGUAAUGUUCUAUGGUGGGAGAGUAGUAAAGCGAUGUUAGACAACAUCUUCCACCUUCUUUAUCCUCCCUAUCAACCAGAUCUUAACUUGAAUUUGAGCUCUUAAUCGUAGGAGAUUGCAACAAAGGGAGAUUGCAAUAACAAAUCAGGCUGAUUCAACACACAACACACACAAGGAUGAUUCAAUUACCACACAGAUACCAGUGAGAUUUCUCCAGUUAUUGGCAGCAGUGCAAAUGUUACUUUAUCAGUCGAGGAUCUUGCUACUUUGUCUACGAGCAGGGUAUUCUCUCAGAUGAUGAGGUCAACGAGUCAAUGGACAUUGAACAGGACAAGGCAUCAUUUCUAUUGGCUAAUAGUUGGGAUAAGAAAGGUUAUGGGACAGCACAUCUCGAGAAAGGUGUUGUGAAAGCCAAUCAAAAUCCCUAUGCUGUCAUAUUUUAUGACUUUCUUGCAGUGAAUGUGAGGUUGGACAGCUAGAUGUCAGAAAUAUCUUGUAGUAGAGGCAAAACUGAUGCCACCUGCUUCUUAACAUAGUAUUUGAGAGAGCAGGGAUUAGAGAGAGCAGAUGAACAUUAGCAGCUGCAGCAGGUGAGGGAUACUAAAGGUGAUAAUCUGUUUAGCAGUUGCAGCAGAUGAACAUUAGCAGAUGAACAUUAGCAGCUGCAGCAGAUGAACAUUGGCAGCUGCAGCAGAUGAACAUUAGCAGCUGCAGCAGGUGAGGGAAAAUAGGCAUCAUUUGUAUUGUCUAUUUCCUUCAGUUUUCAAGUACUAGCAUUACUUUCAAUUGACGCUGAUAAUCUGUUUUCUCAUGCAUUGUUUUCAAUUGUUUGCUUGUUUUGUUUUUCAAUUAAGGUUGUUAAUAAUCACUUCACUUAUUUCACUGGUUAGUUGUGGGUGAUAUUGUCUUAUGAUCGGGUUUUGGAGGAGGAAUAACACUUGAAGAAAUAUCAGGACCACAACCACAACACAGUAGGGAGGAACUUAUAUCUAAGUAGAACGAGGCAAACGAACAAAAUCAUGUAUUACCAAACGCGUGGAUACGUACGUACGGUACAAGCGAAAAACAAUGCAUUAAGAGUCACAUGAGUUCAGUUGAAGAUGAGCUUAAAGCAUUAAAGAA